GUGGGGAAUAUUGGGCAAUGGGGGAAACCCUGACCCAGCGACGCCGCGUGAGGGAAGACGGCCUUCAGGUUGUAAACCUCUUUUGUACGGGAAGAAGGAAGUGACGGUACUGUACGAAUAAGUCCCGGCUAACUACGUGCCAGCAGCCGCGGUAAUACGUAGGGGACGAGCGUUGUCCGGAAUUACUGGGCGUAAAGGGCGCGCAGGCUGUGCUGCAAGUCAGCUGUGAAAUGUCUGGGCUUAACCCGGGCAUGCGGUUGAGACUGCAGUGCUGGAGUGCUGUAGAGGCAAGUGGAAUUCCCAGUGUAGCGGUGAAAUGCGUAGAUAUUGGGAAGAACACCGGUGGCGAAGGCGACUUGCUGGGCAGCAUCUGACGCUGAGGCGCGAAAGCCAGGGGAGCAAACGGGAUUAGAAACCCUGGUAGUCC
RNAcentral lists this ribosomal RNA (427 nucleotides) under uncultured bacterium. Its description in RNAcentral is "partial 16S ribosomal RNA". It matches the Rfam family "Bacterial small subunit ribosomal RNA", at positions 354 to 796 of the family's 1533-position model. The record is from RNAcentral.